UACGUAGGGACCAAGCGUUGUUCGGAUUUACUGGGCGUAAAGGGCGCGUAGGCGGCGCGGUAAGUCACUUGUGAAACCUCUGAGCUUAACUCAGAACGGCCAAGUGAUACUGCAGUGCUAGAGUGUGGAAGGGGCAAUCGGAAUUCUUGGUGUAGCGGUGAAAUGCGUAGAUAUCAAGAGGAACACCUGAGGUGAAGACGGGUUGCUGGGCCAACACUGACGCUGAGGCGCGAAAGCCAGGGGAGCAAACGGG
This 253-nucleotide ribosomal RNA is filed under the name uncultured bacterium. RNAcentral describes it as "partial 16S ribosomal RNA". It matches the Rfam family "Bacterial small subunit ribosomal RNA", at positions 524 to 776 of the family's 1533-position model. The record is from RNAcentral.